GAUGAACGCUGGCGGCGUGCCUAAUACAUGCAAGUCGAACGCACAGCGAAAGGUGCUUGCACCUUUCAAGUGAGUGGCGAACGGGUGAGUAACACGUGGACAACCUGCCUCAAGGCUGGGGAUAACAUUUGGAAACAGAUGCUAAUACCGAAUAAAACUUAGUGUCGCAUGACACAAAGUUAAAAGGCGCUUCGGCGUCACCUAGAGAUGGAUCCGCGGUGCAUUAGUUAGUUGGUGGGGUAAAGGCCUACCAAGACAAUGAUGCAUAGCCGGGUUGAGAGGCUGAUCGGCAACAGAGGGACUGAGACACGGCCCAAACUCCUACGGGAGGCUGCGGUAGGGAAUCUUACACAAUGGGCGAAAGCCUGAUGGAGCAACGCCGAGUGUGUGAUGAAGGCUUUCGGGUCGUAAAGCACUGUUGUAUGGGAAGAACAGCUGGAAUAGAAAAUGAUUUUAGUUUGACGGUACCAAACCAGAAAGGGACGGCUAAAUACGUG
RNAcentral lists this ribosomal RNA (497 nucleotides) under uncultured bacterium. RNAcentral describes it as "partial 16S ribosomal RNA". It matches the Rfam family "Bacterial small subunit ribosomal RNA", at positions 28 to 507 of the family's 1533-position model. The record is from RNAcentral.